RNAcentral lists this transfer RNA (74 nucleotides) under Gemmatimonadota bacterium. RNAcentral describes it as "Gemmatimonadetes bacterium (soil metagenome) tRNA-Arg". It matches the Rfam family "tRNA". From Rfam's summary of the family: Transfer RNA (tRNA) molecules are approximately 80 nucleotides in length. Lineage: Bacteria; Pseudomonadati; Gemmatimonadota. The record is from RNAcentral. RNAcentral also lists the same sequence under 1 other name.
GCGCCAGUAGCUCAGCUGGAUAGAGCAACGGCCUUCUAAGCCGUAGGUCAUAGGUUCGAGUCCUAUCUGGCGCA